RNAcentral lists this ribosomal RNA (253 nucleotides) under uncultured bacterium. RNAcentral describes it as "partial 16S ribosomal RNA". It matches the Rfam family "Archaeal small subunit ribosomal RNA", at positions 474 to 727 of the family's 1478-position model. The record is from RNAcentral.
UACCCGCGGCACAAGUGGUGGUCAUUAUUAUUGGGCCUAAAGCGUCCGUAGCUGGCUUGUUAGAUGCCUGGGUAAAUCGAUGCGCUCAACGCAUCGAACUCCGGGUAGACCGGCAAGCUUGGGACCGGGAGAGGCGUGAGCUACUCGAGGGGUAGGGGUAAAAUCCUGUAAUCCUUCGGGGAGGACCAGUGGCGAAGGCGUCACGCUAGAACGGCUCCGACAGUGAGGGACGAAGCCCUGGGGCGCAAACCGG